Molecule: ribosomal RNA, 529 nt
Filed under: uncultured bacterium
Lineage: Bacteria
Description: bacterial SSU rRNA
Rfam family: Bacterial small subunit ribosomal RNA
Source: RNAcentral
AAUAGAUACCCGGGUAAUCCACGCCGUAAACGAUGUCGACUUGGAGGUUGUUCCCUUGAGGAGUGGCUUCCGGAGCUAACGCGUUAAGUCGACCGACUGGGGAGUACGGCCGCAAGGUUAAAACUCAAAUGAAUUGACGGGGGCCCGCACAAGCGGUGGAGCAUGUGGUUUAAUUCGAUGCAACGCGAAGAACCUUACCUACUCUUGACAUCCAGAGAACUUAGCAGAGAUGCUUUGGUGCCUUCGGGAACUCUGAGACAGGUGCUGCAUGGCUGUCGUCAGCUCGUGUUGUGAAAUGUUGGGUUAAGUCCCGCAACGAGCGCAACCCUUAUCCUUUGUUGCCAGCGGUUUCGGCCGGGAACUCAAAGGAGACUGCCAGUGAUAAACUGGAGGAAGGUGGGGAUGACGUCGAAGUCAUCAUGGCCCUUACGAGUAGGGCUACACACGUGCUACAAUGGCAUAUACAAAGAGAAGCGACCUCGCGAGAGCAAGCGGACCUCAUAAAGUAUGUCGUAGUCCGGAUUGGAGU